This 253-nucleotide ribosomal RNA is filed under the name uncultured bacterium. RNAcentral's name for it is "partial 16S ribosomal RNA". It matches the Rfam family "Bacterial small subunit ribosomal RNA", at positions 524 to 776 of the family's 1533-position model. The record is from RNAcentral.
UACGUAGGGCGCAAGCGUUGUCCGGAAUUAUUGGGCGUAAAGAGCUCGUAGGCGGCUUGUCACGUCGGGUGUGAAAGCCCGGGGCUUAACCCCGGGUCUGCAUUCGAUACGGGCUAGCUAGAGUGUGGUAGGGGAGAUCGGAAUUCCUGGUGUAGCGGUGGAAUGCGCAGAUAUCAGGAGGAACACCGGUGGCGAAGGCGGGUCUCUGGGCAGUAACUGACGCUGAGGAGCGAAAGCGUGGGGAGCGAACAGG